RNAcentral lists this long non-coding RNA (1398 nucleotides) under Gossypium barbadense (sea-island cotton). RNAcentral describes it as "long non-coding RNA (GBAR_LNC016618)". The record is from RNAcentral. Lineage: Eukaryota; Viridiplantae; Streptophyta; Magnoliopsida; Malvales; Malvaceae.
UCUCACGUCUCUCUCUCCCCCACUCCCUUUUUUGGUUUUGUUUCACAUACUGUUUCUUUUCUUUUCUUUCUUUCCAAAGUUUUCUUCUUUUUCUUUCUUUCCCCUAUCAAUUUGCUAUCCGUCUACCAUUGUUACUUUGGUGUUAUGUCGCUAGAAUUUUGUAUCCGAUCUUGUGGGUUUUGAAGUUUUCUGCUACACUAUUGAUUUUGGUGCAAGUAUAAGUCUAUUCGUUUGGUUAGGAGGUGAAGUGCAAAUUUUUUAUAUCAUUCUGUGAAUGCUCUGUUGGGUUAAUUAUUUUAUUUUGAAUAUUUUAUUAGGAUAAUCUCGUGAGGCGUAAAAUCAUACUCUGACGUUUAGGGAAUCAUAGAAUCGUUUCUUCGAUUGGAGUAAGUGCUCUAAUGUCUUUUUAGGGACUGAAUAUAGGCGUUUGUGACUGGAAUCUUGAUUAAGUUUUGCAUAUCGUUACUAAAAUUAGUUGUGUAAAUGCUUAUUUUAGGUUUUAGGAAUCUCGUGGUUUAAUUCGCAUAAGAAAAUAUCCAAGUGUGUGGCUCGAGCCUGUAAGAAAAGCGAAUUGAAGAAAGCCGGAAUCCCUAUUGUCGACGUCACAUGACCAUAUGCCAAGUCGUACGGCAGGCCAUGUGGACGACAUGGUCUAAGUUGUUUGGGUAGUGUGGGCCACAUGGGCAUGUCGGCAAUACACGCAUGUGUAGGCCAUGUGGGCCACAUGGGUUGGGGCAUUUAGGCCGUAUGGGCCACACGCACGUAUGAGUCCAUUUUUUGAAAAUUUACACCUAGGGUUUUUUGAUUUCUGGUUUGUAUUUAGACCCUCCGUUGGGACCAUACUGUGUAAUUAAGACUUGAAAACAUGAUAUUUGAUUAUAUGAUUUUCUAUGUGAUAUGAAUAAGUUAUGUGAUAUAUAUAGAAAUAUAUAUGAUCUGUGUUGUGGCAAUUCUGAAAGCAUGAUUUGUUAUGAAAAGCAUGCAUGACAUAUGUAUUAUGAAUAUCUAUUAGUAUGUACACAUGUAUUGGGUUGGGAUAUGAUAUGACCGAGGCAAUGCUAGCAGUUUAAUUAUCUACCUUAUGUAGUGGUAUAAAACCAUAUAUAUCUGUUUUGGUAGCUCAGCCACGUAUUUAUAUUUCUGGCGGUUUUCUGCUUACUAUUAUCUUGCAGCGUGAUAGCACUAUUUUUAUAAAGUGACAGACGCUCACCUAUUGGUGUGUGGGGCUAGAUGGGUACUUGAUACCUUAAUUGGUGUGUAGGGAUGGAUGAAGAUGAUGUGUAGCAGAUGGGGGUAGAUCAGAACAUGCAUUUAAAUUUGUGUAUGUUUCUGAACAUGAUUAGUUUUUAGAUUGUACAUAUGUUUUUGUUAAUAAAAAUAUAUUUGGUUCCGUAUCCG